RNAcentral lists this ribosomal RNA (429 nucleotides) under Acidobacteriota bacterium. RNAcentral describes it as "Acidobacteria bacterium partial 16S ribosomal RNA". It matches the Rfam family "Bacterial small subunit ribosomal RNA", at positions 355 to 776 of the family's 1533-position model. The record is from RNAcentral. Lineage: Bacteria; Pseudomonadati; Acidobacteriota.
UGGGGAAUUUUGGACAAUGGGGGAAACCCUGAUCCAGCCAUCCCGCGUGUGCGAUGAAGGCCUUCGGGUUGUAAAGCACUUUUGGUAGGAAAGAAACGUCAUGGGUUAAUACCCCGUGAAACUGACGGUACCUGCAGAAUAAGCACCGGCUAACUACGUGCCAGCAGCCGCGGUAAUACGUAGGGUGCAAGCGUUAAUCGGAAUUACUGGGCGUAAAGCGUGCGCAGGCGGUUCGGAAAGAAAGAUGUGAAAUCCCAGAGCUCAACUUUGGAACUGCAUUUUUAACUACCGGGCUAGAGUGUGUCAGAGGGAGGUGGAAUUCCGCGUGUAGCAGUGAAAUGCGUAGAUAUGCGGAGGAACACCGAUGGCGAAGGCAGCCUCCUGGGAUAACACUGACGCUAAUGCACGAAAGCGUGGGGAGCAAACAGG